UAGUUUUUUAAUUGAAGGCUAGAAUGAAUGGUUGGACAAGAAAUAAUCUGUCUUAAUUAAAGAUAUUGAAUUUAACUUUUAAGUGAGAAGGCUUAAAUGAUCUAAAGGGACGAUAAGACCCUAUAAAACUUUAUAUUUAAGAGUAGAAAUUAGUUUUAUUUAAAGAUUACUAUUAUAUAAUAUUUGGUUGGGGCGACAGGGAUAAAAUAGAGAGUAACUGUCUUUUUUUAUUUACAAUAAUAUUUGGGCUUAUGAUCCUAAAAUGGAUUUAAAGAUUAAGUUACUUUAGGGAUAACAGCGUUAUUUUCUUUAAGAGUUCUUAUCGACAGGAAAGUUUGCGACCUCGAUGUUGAAUUAAAGGUUCUUUAUAGAGUAGAGACUAUAAUAGAAAGGUCUGUUCGACCUUUAAAAUUUUACAUGAUUUGAGUUCAGACCGGUGUGAGCCAGGU
This 449-nucleotide ribosomal RNA is filed under the name Lacunicambarus aff. polychromatus 366 MGG-2018. RNAcentral describes it as "partial large subunit ribosomal RNA". The stretch from base 291 to 449 matches the Rfam family "Bacterial large subunit ribosomal RNA", at positions 2473 to 2631 of the family's 2925-position model. Lineage: Eukaryota; Metazoa; Arthropoda; Malacostraca; Decapoda; Cambaridae. The record is from RNAcentral.